GAAUAAUUCAGGGACUGACCAGAGAAUAUUGCUCAUUUUUGGAAGGUUUGGCUGUUCUGAAGAGUGCCUGGAUGACAGACCUGCUUUGAAGCUUGUCAACCCCUCUGCAGAGCACCUCUCCUGUCAGGAGCUGCUGUCCUGGAGAACAAUGGCUGGGAGCAGGGUGAGGGGCUGUGCUGUGCCCGCAGCCUUUGAUCACACCUGGUGCGGCUCCAAGCGGGGCCUGCUCGUGGGCACUGCUGGGUUUUAGCAUUUCUGAUCAUAUCACACUGCAGUACAGGAACUGUGCUUUGCCUGCUACCCCGGGUCACAAUUUAUGAGCAAAUGCCAGUUCCAACAGGCAUGGUUCAAGGAGGAUCACU
This 362-nucleotide long non-coding RNA is filed under the name Chloebia gouldiae (Gouldian finch). RNAcentral describes it as "Erythrura gouldiae (Gouldian finch) lncRNA (ENSEGOG00005004200.1)". The record is from RNAcentral. Lineage: Eukaryota; Metazoa; Chordata; Aves; Passeriformes; Passeridae.